GAUGAACGCUGGCGGCGUGCCUAAUACAUGCAAGUCGAGCGAACGGACGAGAAGCUUGCUUCUCUGAUGUUAGCGGCGGACGGGUGAGUAACACGUGGAUAACCUACCUAUAAGACUGGGAUAACUUCGGGAAACCGGAGCUAAUACCGGAUAAUAUUUUGAACCGCAUGGUUCAAAAGUGAAAGACGGUCUUGCUGUCACUUAUAGAUGGAUCCGCGCUGCAUUAGCUAGUUGGUAAGGUAACGGCUUACCAAGGCAACGAUGCAUAGCCGACCUGAGAGGCUGAUCGGCCACGCUGGAACUGAGACACGGUCCAGACUCCUACGGGAGGCAGCAGUAGGGAAUCUUCCGCAAUGGGCGAAAGCCUGACGGAGCAACGCCGCGUGAGUGAUGAAGGUCUUCGGAUCGUAAAACUCUGUUAUUAGGGAAGAACAUAUGUGUAAGUAACUGUGCACAUCUUGACGGUACCUAAUCAGAAAGCCACGGCUAACUACGUG
This 497-nucleotide ribosomal RNA is filed under the name uncultured bacterium. RNAcentral describes it as "partial 16S ribosomal RNA". It matches the Rfam family "Bacterial small subunit ribosomal RNA", at positions 28 to 507 of the family's 1533-position model. The record is from RNAcentral.